UAUCAGUCAUGCAUAGCAUAUCAAUAAGCGGAGGAAAAGAAACUAACAAGGAUUCCCUUAGUAACGGCGAGUGAAGCGGGAAGAGCUCAAAUUUGAAAUCUUCAAGGUUCUACCUUGACGAAUUGUAGUUUAUAGAAGUGUUUUCUGUUAGUGGAGUGGCAAAAGUUCUUUGGAAUAGGACAUCAUAGAGGGUGAGAAUCCCGUAUUUGGUCAUUCCUCCUAGCGUUGUGAUACACUUUCAACGAGUCGGAUUGUUUGGGAAUGCAGUCCAAAAUGGGUGGUAAAUUUCAUCUAAAGCUAAAUAUUGGCGAGAGACCGAUAGCGAACAAGUACCGUGAGGGAAAGAUGAAAAGAACUUUGAAAAGAGAGUUAAACAGUACGUGAAAUUGUCAAAAGGGAAGCGUUUGACACCAGUGUUGUUUUUCCGAAAAUCAAUUACGAAUGUUUUAGUUUUCAAGAAGUUAUGACUUCAUCGGCUUGCUUCUUUCUUUACGAAACUUUCUUAAUGCACUUUUCGGUUAACAAGUCAACAUCAAUUUCUUUUGUUGUAAAAGGGUAUGAGGAAGGUGGCUUUCUUUUCGGAGAAAGUGUUUAUAGCCUUGUGCCUCUGCAAUCGGAGAGAUUGAGGUCUGCAGCGUAGAUCCUUCGGGGUUAGAUACGUUUGUGCUAAGUUAUAGCUUUUCAUAGACAACUUGUUGACUAUGUUUAGUCUUGUAGCUUACUCGCUGACGCUAUUUUACCUACGCUUAGGAUGUUGAUCUCUCACAGUCGAGC
RNAcentral lists this ribosomal RNA (774 nucleotides) under uncultured Neocallimastigales. RNAcentral's name for it is "partial large subunit ribosomal RNA". It matches the Rfam family "Eukaryotic large subunit ribosomal RNA", at positions 22 to 645 of the family's 3401-position model. Lineage: Eukaryota; Fungi; Neocallimastigomycota; Neocallimastigomycetes; Neocallimastigales. The record is from RNAcentral.